GAUGUCUGCUUCACUUCCAGGCAUCGCAUUUGUGAUCCAGUCAGUAGGAAGAGGGAAUAGCAGAAGAGAAUCCCUACCCAUUCCUCCCCCAGCCCACAAGGAUACUUCCAAGAUGUCGUACAUAAUAUGCCAUGUAUGCCAUACUGGCCUGAACUUAGUUGCGUGGCCACACCUAGCUGCAAGGGAUGCUGGGACAUACAGUCCUUAUUUUUAAAUCAGGAGUUCUGGUUUCUAAAGGAAAAAGAGGGAACGAUAUUGGGAGACAGCUAGUAAUUUUGGCUACAUUCCUACAUAGUUUAGGGUAUUUCCUUCCAUACUUCAUUUUUCUAUGCCUAGGGAGAGAGAAUUUAUUUAACCAGAGAUGAGAUUAUAUUUUACGUACUUGUCUGUAACUUGAUUUUUUUCCUAGUUAAGGAUACAUCAAUAGCCCUUUUCCAUCUUAUUAAAUAGACUUCUGCAAACUAUUUUUAGCAUGAUCAUUCCUUGUUGAGCUGGAUGGUAAUUUAUUUAACUAAACCCCCAGUGAAUGGAAUUGUAAAUCAGAUAUUGAAGGUAAAGCUUCAUGACACGUAUGAGAUUUAUUUUUCCCUGUAGGAUAAGUGCCCAGAACUUGGAUGGAUGGAGCAUAGGAUUUGGGCAUUUGAAGGGGUCAUUGGGCAAUUAUGGAGCUCCCCAGACUCUGGGCUAUGUGGGGUGGCUUGCAGCAGGCUGUGUAAGCCCCCUUCUGCUGUUACUAUAGCGAUUAUUUUAUCAUCACUCCGAUUCCAAGGCCCUUGCUGUUCCAUGACACUUUGCUUCUGACUCCCCGCCACCCAGAUCAUGUUGGGGAUGGGGUCCUCAGGGCACCCCCUUUUCUUUGUCUUUGAUGUGUUCUGAAGCUCCCUCCCACUUCCCCCCAAAUCAUCACUUCCCUUUGCUCCCAGCCCAUCCCCUGGCCCUCUCAAGUUUCACCAUAUGUCUGGUGAGGUCACCCCAGCCAAGGCAGAGGUGUCCUUGGGGGCAGUCGGGCCCCUCCCCAAGCAGAUCAGGUUGCCGGCAUCAGUCUCGGGGAGUGACUUCAAGGCCUCUUUCUGUCCUUUUUAUCUCCAGGGAGAGAUUUAUCCUCCCCAGGCGACAGCAGCCAUGGGUUCCAGGCAGAUGGCAGCUCCCCAGGGGCACCCCUAAGGGCAGCUGCUACUUGUUUUAAAGGCUGAUGUAGUUCACUGUCCACAGUCACUUACUGAUGGUGUGUGAUUGGGUGUGUUGGGGACAUAUUACCAGGCCAGACUGUCUGGGUUCAAGGCCCAGCUCCUUCACUUACCAGCUGUGUGGCUUUAGAUAAGGUCUUUACUGCGCUGGGCUCAGGCUCCUCUGUGGAAUGGACAUCGUGAUAACAAUGCCUGCCUCCUGGAGUUUGAGGAUUAAAACACCUAGAGCAGCACCUGCACAUAAGGCCCAAAGAUGUAGAUAGUGAGUUUAAAAAAGUGUUCUUCUUCUAGUGGCCUCUCUCAGCUCGGUAUCAGUUUACUUUGUGGAGCCUGUUCUCAGUUUCUCCCUGUCUCUCCCAUCCUUCCUCCACAGACCAAUCUCUCUUGAGCACCGGCUGUGUGCCAGCCUCUGUUCUAGGCACUGCGUAGAUGGCCAAGGAAACUGUCUUCUGCCCUGAGGGAGCUGAUACUUUAGUGAGGGAGAUGAUGCUGAAUGAUCAAACCUAUCCAUACUUAAUUGAUAAGAGCACAGCCAAUAGCGGUGACGUCUGUGAAGGGUAACGGGUUCAGGUGGCUAUGUAGUGGGUGAGAUCCUCUCUUAUAUGGGUCCAGAGAUGGUGGGGUCCUGGUAUGUUCAAGAAAUAAAAAGGAGACCAGUGUGCCUGUGGCUGAGCCAGUGGGGUGAGAAGAGCCCGCAUUAGACAGUCUUUGGGCUGUGGAAGAGGUUGAAUUUUUUCUAGGUUUUAAUCAGAGCCUCUUCUAAGGCAAGGAUUUCUUGACCUUGGCACAGUUGUUUGCGGUCAGCUGUGUCUUUGUGGGGCUGCCCUGUGCACUGGAGGGUGUUUAGCAGCAUCCCUGGCCUCUACAUACUAGAUGCCAGGAGUACCCCGUCCUCAGUUGUGACAAUCCAAAAUGUCUCUAGACAUUGGCACAUGUCUUCUAGGGGGCAAAAUCACCCCCAAGUUGAGAACCACUGGGCUCAGGCUAGGUGGGACCGGGGUGGGACUAGCCUGGCAUUGGGAGACCUGGUUCUAAUCUGUGUUUUGUCACCAGUUUGCUGUUUGACCUCAGACCAGUGUCUCAUACUCUUGGUUUCUCCAUCAACUGGGAGCUUGUUGGAGAUGGCAAACUCAUAAUCCUUCUAACCCUCUCCCUGCCACAUCCAUGGCAGACAUCACUAAUCAAUCAUGAUGUGGCUUCCUGCUAAGUCUAGAGCUCUGGGGACCAUGGAGACACUCAGGCCGGGAGCCGAGUAAACAGCCCCUCUGGUCCUUCUCUUAUGCCCCAGAAGACCUGGGUAUAUACUUAGAGGAACUUGAACGCCUGGGCUCGAGGAAACCUGUGCAUCACCUAGAGGAACUUACCCCAGUCGACCUAAGUGUACAGCUGAAAGAACUUACACCUGAGCGCCAUUGUUUACAGUAGGGAUGCUUGAAACAAGUGUCUGCAGCAUGGUAGUGAUUACCUUAUGCUAUAAUUUUGACUAGUAAGCAAUGAAAUGAACAACUUGAGGUCUGUCUUAUUGUGGAUUCUCCAAAGAACACGUCCCGAGACGAUUUCAAGGGCAAGUAGCGUACUUGGGAGGUCACCCAGGAGGCAUCAAUAGGAGAGUCGGGGAGUGAGGCAGGGAGGAGAAGGCAGCCAAGAAGGGUGUGUCAUCAAGCGGGUUACCAUGGGGGCUGCCGGAGCUGAAUCCCAUCAAGGCACUCGGGGAGAUAGUGUCCACCGAGUGCCUCAGUUUCCUCAUCUUUCUUUUCAUGCCAGGCCCUGCUGACCAUCACUGAGGGCUGCUCCCAGGCAGUCUUACUUAUUCAGCACUUCCGGCCUGCCCUAUGCAUGAGAGCGGGGCCUUCAGGCCCAGAGAUGCGGGCACUGGCAGCUGGAUGUGGUGUGGGGUAAGGGUGGGGUCUGGAUGGCAGAUGCUGCCUGGUGUACAUAUCAACAUGGGUAAAUGUGGAAGACGUGAUGUUGAGAGAGAAAAUCAAGUUGCGGAAAGCAGGCUACUUAUAAAAAUGUUGUGAACAUGCAAAGCAGUAUUCUCUCUUGCUUAUAGAUGCACACGGGCAUGGUAAGUGGGCAGAGGCAUGUGUGGGAAUGAGGAGCACCGGCUCCAAGUACCUUGCAGGGAGAGAAGGUGCCUAGUGGCUCACGUCUCUCUGUAACGAGUUUUUUCUGCUUUUUCUAUUUAAUACAUUGAGGUUUGAUAUUUGCAUGGUACUGUGGGUCAACUGAACUAAUCUCAAGUGCAUACUGCUGGGGCUUUGCAUAUGCAGCGACCUGUGUCACCACUGCUCGGAUCAAGAUACAGAACGUUUCCAGCACCCCCGAGAGCCUCCUCAUCCCCUUUCCAGUCUGUGCCUCCCCCAGACUUGUUGAAUUUCUUUUUGCAGAUGGUUUCAAGCAAAUUUGGUGUAGUGUUAAGAUUUGCCACAGCUGGGUAAUGAUGAGUUUGUGGGUGUUUGUUGUUUCUCUCUAUUCUCUAUUCUUUUCUGUAUCCUUGACGUACUUCAUUAUCAUAUUCAUAAAAUGAAGAGGAGGACUUGGGCAGAUGUGAGGACAAGUGGUCCAGGCACGGGCAAAGCUUCUGAGGCUGGAGGAGUUUCUCAGGCAGCCCUGGAAAUCCUGAGAACAGUAUUGUGUCUAAGGGAGUCUUCGGAGAUGAGAGCUGCUUUUGACCUGACUGUUUCAAAGCUGUCAAGCCUUGGACAAAGGAAGAGUCACCCUGGAGGGUCCCUUUCACCAUUCCUGCCAGUGCAGGGGACGCCGGUGCUGCCUGGAAAAGCCAGUCGUGCCUUGGGCAGCAGGAGGGCUGGGCCCAGAGCCCCUGCUGCCCAUUCUUUCCGGGUCACGAGCUGCCCAUUGUGGCCUUCACACCGGCUUGUUUGCGGUUCCUCAGUGGGUGGCCCGAGCCUCCCAUUGUUGCAGCACAAUAGCGGUGGCAGAGCUCGUGUGAAGAAACCAGGACAGGAAGCCCCAAUCUAGGCCAGCAGAGUGUGGCACUCCCAGCUUCCUGCCCUCCUUGGCUGUGCUGGGCGAGGCUGUCUUUGUCUCCCUCUAGUCUGGGGAGGCUGGAGACAUGACUUCCUGUCAGUAUCCCAGGCCCUGUUAAAACAUCCUCUAGGAACCCCAUCCCUGUCCCCCCCCGCCCAUUGUCAUUUAAAAAACAGGAUCCGCAGACUUCCAAGGAGCCUGAGUCCAGGUCUCUGCCAUGUGUCAGGCACUGUGCCAGGCACAUUCCAUACCUUCCUUUGAUUUUCAAGCACCUGCUAUUUGCUGAGCACUACAUUUGGCCCUGAAGACGUAGCUGUAAACAAGACAGGCAGGGUCCCUGCCUUCAGGGAGCUUCCAUUCACUUUAUCCCAUGACAUUCUAAAAGGUGCUGUAUUCCUAUGAUCUCCACUGGCAAGAGUAAAUGAAGACUCAGAGAGGCUAGUGCACUUUCCUGAAGUCACACAGCAGGAAGGACCCGUGGUUGAAACUCAAACUCACCAGUUUCCAAACCUGGCCUCUGUUGUUGGAUUGGGGGUUAUGGUUUCAUCCCAGCCAUGAUCCCUGCUUGUCCUGGCCUUUCCCUUAGGAUUUUGUAUAGAUUAUUUAACCUCAGUUUCCUCAUCUGUCAAAUGAGCUCUUAACGCAAGAUGGGAAGAUAGGAGUUUGCAUUAAGAAGAGGAGGGCCUCUUGGUGGAGAUGGCGUUUGAACUAAGGCCAGAUGGAUAAGGAGGCUGCUCAGGGCAGAAUGGGGGAGAACAUCUUGCCAAUAGGAACAGCAUAUGCAAAGGUCGUGAGGCAGGAGUGUAUUUGGCAGGUGGAUAGAAUCUAGAAUGACAGUGUGGCUGAAGAUUGUUUAUAUUGAAUUAUGUGGGAGGAUGAAGUACUAGAAGAUGAGAUCGGAGAGGUUAACAAGGACAAGGUCAUGGGGACCAUGGGAGGAUUUGGAUUUUAAGUGCAGUGGGAAGCCAUGGAGAUUUUAAACGCGUGGAUUAACUGAUCUCUUGUACAUAUUUAAAGGGAUCUCCCUGGCUGUGUGUGUAGAGAACAGACUUUUGGGAGGGUGAAGGGGACCAGGAGGGAAAUGGCUGUGUUAGUCCAGGCAAGAGAUGAUGAUGGCUUGGACUGGGGGGAUGGCUAUGGAGAUGGGGACCAGUGGUUGUAGUGUUCAGGUGAAGCUGGUAACAUUUGAUGUACUGGAAAUGGAGUGUCAGGCAAGAGGGUUCUGUGGGUCAACUGGCUGGUGGGUUUUGGCUAGAGCCCUUGAAAGGCAGAGGUGCCAUUAAUCAAGUGGGGAAGAGCUCGGUAUGAGUUUGGGGAAGGUCAGGAAUUAAGUGUUGGACAGGCUGAGUUUGGACAUCCCGGUGGAGACAUUGAAUCAGCAGCUGGAGAUAAGAGUCUGGGGUUUCAGGGGAGAAGUCCAGGCUGGGGAUGUAAACAUGGGGGUCAUCAAAAAAAGGGAAUUUAACCCAUUUAUGCCAGAGGUUGCAAUUUUUUUUUUUAAUAAAAAAUCAGACCUUGGCAAUGACCUUGAAGAGUAGGAUAUAAAUAACUCCCACAAGCUUAGUGUUCCAGUAAUGGAACUCUAGGCAUAGAUGGGUGAAAGCCCCAAGACUAGCUGAGAUGGCUCUGCACUCUGUGUGGACAGAGACAAAGCUGCCUUCCUAUGUCUUGCCUUUUUCUGUGACUCACCUUGUGGACUGUCAUUGUGCCCCCUCCCAAGAGGCUUGAGUCUGGGCACGUGGCCGGGCUCCUGGGGGCAGGCAUGGACGUGUUGUGUCUCCGGGUGAUGGAAAGGAUCUGACAGCCGUGUGCAGAGGGCCACCCUCCUCUCUGCUUACCUGCCCCGCUUACCCUGACCCCAGCGCUAUCUUGGGCUGUCCCCGCCAUCUCUCAGAGAUCUCCCCAGACAAGCGUGGUGGGUGAGACAGGCUCUCGCAGCCCCUGUCUUAAUCAGCCUGCACCUGGGUUCUGUGACAGGAAGACCAUGUACUCACCUGGACCAGCCCCCUGGGGAGCCCCAAGCUGUCAUCUGUCUUGGCAGGGCAGGUGACUGAUAGGCCCCACAGCUCCCCAUGGCCCUGCGGGUGUAACACCAUGAAUUCCUUUUCCCAGGGGUCUCCGUGUGGCUGCUUCCAGGUUAGGCUACAGCCAGAUCCCACAUCCUGGAGUUGGGGCAAACCAGGUGGAGGUGGCUGUGGGUACUGGGCCUCGGUCUCCCUUAGGUGCUGACUCUGCUGUCUCUCCUUCCCCCAGCAUUGAUCACUGUGACUCUCUCAGCCCAUUCAUGUGACCCCUUGGCAGCUCUUCUUUCUGCCACUUUUCCACCCACACCACCUGGUGCCAGGCCACCGUCAUCUCUUGUUGGCACCACUGCACCCUACUGCCCUGGUCUCCCCACUUUUACACGCAACCCCUGAAAUCCAGUUCCUUGCAAUAACAGAGAGCUCUUUCACCAACACUUCAAAACUGGGAGACUUCUCUCUUUAAAAAAAUUCUAAUUUCUGGCUUCAUUAAAAAAAAAAACACCACCACCCAAAUCUGAACCUCUGGUGAUCCUGGGCCUGUGGCCUCCCCACGUGGCCCCACGUGAAUGGUGCACCCUCAGCUCCUGCAGCCCCUGUUGCUCCUGCCCUGGUAUAGUCACACUCAUCUGCUGCGUCUCAUAGAGGAGAGACGUGAUUUGUCUGUUCCAAGCUCCUGAAAGGGUGAUAGAAGGACUGUGGUCCAUUCAAACAGUAGAUUCCUGGCAUCUGCAAGGAGGCUGUUCGUGAGAUGAUCUGGAAGGAUCUCUGAGCUAUAUUAAAUAGAAAAUCCAGGUGCAGGUCAUCCGGUGUAUGUUGCUAUUUUUUGGUGUGUAGAGAAGUAAAAAAAAAAAAAAAAAAAGGAAUAGA
Long non-coding RNA from Cercocebus atys (sooty mangabey), 7069 nucleotides. RefSeq lists it as uncharacterized. Lineage: Eukaryota; Metazoa; Chordata; Mammalia; Primates; Cercopithecidae. The transcript has 2 exons. The record is from RefSeq and is a predicted model, not a curated record.